CUUAUGAUUCCACAUUUGCAUGUGCGUCUGCCAUAGCAUUUCCAACUUUAAUAUGUACCAAAAACCCAUUUUCUGCAACCCUUGCUCUCAUCGUAUUCCAUGAGACUGUAUCUCUAUGAGGCUUUUUUAUCAAACAAUUUAAGUGCAUUGUCUGUGAUGGUGUCUUUGUGCUGCUAUUAUUGUUCUACUAUGCCUGUCUUUAAACCUUUGUCAUAGCUGCAUUAGUAUGGUCAUGAACCAGAUCUUAAUGGGAGAAUUAUUUUUCAUCUUUUCCUAGCCAUAUAGAUUAUUGCUGGAGAUUCAAGAAUCUCAAGCCGUUCUUUAUUUCUCCCUUUACUUCUGAAGGGUUGUUUUAUUUUGAACAAUUCGCAUGCGGUUGGUUCCUGGUGUUGCUGCCUUGUUUGAAGGUUGGGUGGGACCGUGGAGAAAGAAUGGCUGGUGGUGGGACAGGGAGAAGGUGUCGGGUUUGAGGGUAAAGGGGUUAAGGGUGGAGGCUUUAGAGUGAGGUUUCUUGUGGGCUGGAGCCCUACCCAUCCCGAUUCUCUCGGGGCAUAGUUCGGUGAUUCAAUUCAAUAGUCAGAUUUACCGGUGAUUCAAUAGGGUUAUCGGUGAUUCAAUAGGGCCGGUAGAGCAUCUGGCAAUCUUCGAUCCGUUCCCCACUUGCUACAGACUACUAAUCUAGUAGAAUAAAAUAGAAACUAGGUACUCAACUGUUCCUACCUAUCUAUAAGGAGGACGAGGGGGAGCCCUGAACUAUUACUAUUAUCUGGGGUGGGGGUGGCCAGGCAUACAGUUGACACUCAAGCGUGGCAUUGAUCAUCCUUCUCUAAAGUAGCCGUUGGCAUAAACCAUUCCUUAUUGAUUUGUUGGUCCUGAUGUGAUCGAUUACCGGGACACUUUAAAACAACAAGUAAUAUGGAGGGAGAUCUCAUAACACAAGCAUGAUGAUCCCGUUGCAUAGGCAGAAGAAUCAGAGCACUCUGAACAGAGCUCUGAACGAAACCUAUUUCCUUGAUGUGCUCCAAAAGAUUACCCCAGGAAAACUGGUAGUUGCCCUCUUCAUAUCUUCCCCCCACCUCAAUCAACAUCUAGUUGGGAAAGAGGAGAGGGUCGGCCCAUUGCUAGCGAGUCUCAUCUGGCUUAACUAGCGGGCCCAUUUUGUUUUCUCCAAAACCCAGUAAGUAAUUGCUCUAGAGGUGGAGAUACAGGUGGAAGUUCAGGCAUCGUUAGUUGUUUUGGGAUCUUCAAAGUAAAAUUCUAAAAAGUAGCUAAGAGGAAUGAUUUCAAGUGCAUAUUCUAAUAAUAACAAGGUUGUUGAAUAUGAGGUGAUAUCUGUUUAUAGUUCAGUACUCUCUUUUUUAAAAAUAUUUUGGAGUCCAAUUUUGAAUUUAAUGCCUUUAUAUGUUGUUCUUCGAAUCCAUAUCUAUCAGUAGAUUGCAGUCCUCUUUGAAAAUUAAGCAAAAAUGAAUAUUAGUUAUUAAAUAUAUAUGAUUCUUAGUUCGUCUUCCCUUUUAGUGACGGAUAUUGUUCAUUACUGCUUCUUUUUUCUUGGCUCUGGGAUUACUGAUAAUGUAAAUAUUUUUACAGAGGAAGUUCAAUUAUGUUAUACUAUAUUUAAUAAAAUAAUAAGCAUUCUAAAACUAAAACUCUGUUUUGCAUGCCUCAUUUAUGUCUAGCAAAGGUCUUAAAAUUGAUUUUGAAGUGGUGAAGCUCUGGGCUCAAAUGUGUGUGCUUCUUUCUCAAAUACUCGUCUGGGUUACUACCUUAAUCUCUAAGUGAGCUUUUUUGGCUAUCAAACUGAGCAUAGCUAAAGGCAUUCAUUUGAGUUUUUAGGAUAUAGGAUGUUGGUAAUAACACAACCAACUGAUGUCAGUAUACUACAGUAAAUGAGGUCAUAGUUGUUGUGGUUAGGACUUUAGCAAUUUGAUUGGAAAUUAUUAACAUACGUGUGGGAAUUGAUUUACAUGAAUGUGGAAUAUGAAUUUGAACUUUCUUGGUUUUAUACUCUAUGUUAUGUUGUUGAUACAGUUGCAGGUUUUAGAAAUAGGUGUUUUUUCUCACAACUUCAAGGUAUACUCCAUAAUUGCACAUAAUUUAAAAUCAGUCGUUUGGCACAUGCAUGCUUUUUACUUCCCUUCAUUUAUCUUCUGGCAUUACCUCCAUUUCAAAGUCGGUGUUAAGGUGUUAGCAUGAUAAAUGAGAUGAUUUUUUGGGAGAUGCAUAAUGUAAAAAUCUCCUUUCCAUCGAAACAUAAACCUCCCUUAGACAACUAUUUCUAAUUAAUUAUGCUAUCACAUAUUAAUUUUACCCCUAGUGCAUGCAGCAUCAGGCAUGUUGGAUUGCAUAAUUUUACCCAGGGGUUUGAAUUUGGGUCUAUACUUUUAAACCCAUAUGUUUCACCACAUGAGCUCAUUCCAUUUGAUGGGAACUACUUACCCACUAUAGUCGGACUUCUAGAUUCUUGUCUAAAUUAUAGUUGCAAAGUGGGAUGUUUGAGUUUAUCUCUGGGGAUACUCCUUCUUGAAGACUUGUAACUCUUUGCCAAGGUUUUCCACAUAUGCAGGGGUCAUUCUUGAGUACUAUAUAUAUGCGUACGAGUAAAUGAAUGAUGUAAUUCAGUUGAGCAUAUCAGCUUUUCAGUUUGUCAAAUAUCACUACUUUCUUUAGCUGACUGCUUAAUCGUGACAAACUAAAAUUCUUUUAGCAUGGAAACUAAUAUUGAAAACUUCAUCAAAAUUUGUUGCCAGUUGUUACUGUUAUAGCACAAUUUCCUACUAUUAUAGAAUAAUUUUGUGACCAAAAAACAAAAAAUAAUGCCUCUUUAUCUGAAUUGAUGUUCUUGGUGAGUCGCUACACUUCAGUUCUUUCACAACAUGAAGAAAUGUUUGGAGCCUUUGUCACCAUAAAGUUACAGGCGUUCAGACAGAGAUUUUGGUAGUCUGGCCUAGUCCUUGGCAAGUCCCAACACUUUAGUUCUUUCUAUAUAUUGUUCUCAGAAUAUGAAGAAAUGUUUGGAGCCUUUGUAACCAUAAAGUUCCAGGUGUACCUCAUACAAAGAUUUUGUUAGUCUAGCUAAGUCCUUGGGAAGUCCCAACACUUUACUUCUUUCUAUAUAUUGUUUUCAAAAUAUGAAGAAAAUGUUUGGAGCCUUUAUCACCAUAAGGUUCCAGUUUUCGUAGCUUGAACACUCUAGUCAUGAGUACUGUAAAGUUUUUAUCUUUUUAUGCCAGUCUUUAAUAAAUUGAAAACUUAGAUAAAUUAAAGUCAAACAUUACAUUUUUUUGUUUGAAGUUUAAUUUUAUUAUACUGAAGAAACAGUACUAAGUUCUUUCUUUCCUUUUUCUUUAUUCUUAUUUUGUUCCAAACUCUACAAAAACUGUAAACAACAAUUUAGUUUUGGACAAGACUGCAAUUCCUUCCUUUUAGUUUUUACUUGGAUUCUAGGAAAUGUGAAGCAGUCACCAAAAUGAGAAAUUGUGGAACUGUAUCCAGUGGGAGUUCCAUAAUCACCUCAAAUCUCAAUUGGGAGUGACCUAAAUCCUUGUUUUAUGUGAUAUUCUCAAUAAUCAAUUACUGUCUUUUCUAGAUUUUUGUUUUCUACUUUGUUUAUGAUCAAAUGAAUAACUGAAACAAACUGAAAUAAUAUAUAUUUGUUGUUAUGACUUGUCUAUUCAUUAUGGAAACUGAGUUGACUGAAACAAUACAUAACUACCAUCUUGGAACUGUUGGUGAAGAAGACUAAAAAAUAAAUGUUUUACAAUGUAUCCAAUAUAAUCUCAUACCUGACAAGUUCAAUACGUUGUUCAAUACAUCCUGAUACCUUUUUCAGACAAUAUUAGUUAUAGCCUAUUGUGCCAAUGGCACCAUCUUCUAAUAGUAGAUAUUGAUUGACUAAAAUAUCGUUUGCACUUGGCACAUAUUUGAUGCAUGAUUAAGCACCCUUCUUGACUGCCUAGAAUACUUGUCACUUGCAUACAGUCACUUAGUCCCUCCUUUGUCACCCAACAAGGGUAUGAUUAUUGUGGCUAAGCGUUGACAAAUCUGAAGUGUUAUCAGGUGGAUGUAGAGCGGCUUAACUGUAGAUCUCUCUCCUAGCUGGUGGCACAAUGUAAUUAGUUUUGCACAGAUGCCAAAUUUGCCCUCUAGUGGUGUCACCUUCCUAUGGUGCACAAUUCUUCUAUAUUCCUAUGACCUGUAGUGAUGGUUUAUCUCCAAUAAUUCCUUAUAUGACUUGGAAAUAACUUGCUGAUCCUGCUCACAAAUUUGAGUCCUUCAACCUGAAAUAUUUUUAAAUAAACUCUUGCAUUGUGCUGCAAAUACCUGAGUGGAAAUUGUGAAGAAGAGGGUAGGGUUUCUUCCUUAACCUCUAAAAAUGCCAUCAAGGGGCUUCGUUGUUGUAGGUGUGAGAGCUAGAAUCUCAAACAAUAAAUAAGAAUAUGGAAAAUCAGAUGAUCCAACUGAGCAAAUGAAACUUGUAAAAAUACGUACAUGAAACUUGCAAAAAUACGUACAUGAAACUUGCAAAUGAUAACAAAGAAUAUACAUACCCUUCAAAUCCACCUUCCAUAUUGGUUUGUUGGAUAUACAUACCCUGUUUCAAAGCUCCCAUUUAAUCAAUAGUAGGGAGAACGCUGGUAAAGGUUGUGGAAUCUGGUUUUACACCUGCUAAUUGCAUUUGCUUGGAAGUCUCUUAAACUUUUUCAACAAGUCCAUUUUGUGCAUAUCUUACAAUCAUUUCAGUCCUUGAGACCACAUUUCUUUCAGGGAUACCGUUGUGCCUUGUCUUCUUCCACAUUUUGCAAGCAUGCCUAUAAGAACAGUUGCAACUGCAACAUAUGAAAAAAAUCUUCUAUCCUUUAUGCUUUGAUGGAUGUUCAUACCUUGUUUCAGAGUUCCCAUUUUGGCAUGAAUAGGGAUGAUGCUAGCAAAGGUUGUGAAAUUUGGCUUUACACCUACCAAGUGCACUUUCUUCAAAGUUUCUAAAGCCUUUUCAACAAAUCAUAAGCUUCUAAAAUCUUCCUCAAAAUAACGAAAGUCUGAUACUGCUUUAGGACAAUUAUCCAUCUGCACGAUGUCUUUACUUUUAUCUCAGGGUCUUCAUGAAACUCUGCAUACCUCUGUCAUUAGCUAGGAUGCAAUUAUUUUAUGGUCUUCACUAUAUUGUUAAUGAUGAAAAUGACAAUAAAGUUGCUAUUAUCCUUCCUUAAGAUGGCUUUAGUGUAACAAGUUAAAGCCACCACAAAGUGGGAUAGGUUGUAACCACCACUAAUUGAAGAGCAGAGCUCCAUGCCAAAUUAUAGCCCAGAUGAUCAUCUUAGUUGUGGUUGAAUUAUGGUCAUCUUAGCUAUUAGUGGAUGAUACCACCUUUUUAGUAGGGUGAGAUCAGCCACGGCUGAUUUUUCUUGAUUACUUGCACUUGGGCCCAAUAGAGUUAUUGUAGCCAUUUUAGUCUACGUAUGUGAGUCUAAAUUAUAGUCUGAAAGUUGAGACCGAUAUGUUGAUUUUCAAAGAAGGGAAACAUUGCUAAGUGUCAAAUUUUUCUAGAAGUGGAUGAUACAGAAUUAUCAGAAAUGGGUAGAAACUUGCUAGUUCAAUCUACUUGGGUAAUAUUAAUAGUAGUCAUGUGCCUCACAAAUACCCUUAGUUUCUAGUUGUGAAAUUUUAGUAGUAGUCACGGGCUUCACCAAUACCCCCUAUGAAAUUAGACACUCAUUUUUGGGGUAGUGAAGUGGAACAAUAAACCAGAUUCUUUGGUUUGGCCUUCAAGCAAGUUAUACGAGAUAUUUUUGAUGAUAUUUAAACCUAUCUAUUAUGAAUUAAAAGUAGUUCUGGUUGUGGUAAUGUUGAUUGAAUGGUAUGCUAAAUUUGUGUUUAUGUUUGUCAAUAUGUGUGACUGCUUGAAUGAACUUUAAAUUCUCUAUUUUUCCUAAAAUGACCAUAGAUAAAAGGGAUGAAAUUGCAUAGAAUCCUUUGGCUUCAUCAUGAUUGUAAUCCAUUCAUGCCAAAGUAAUUUAUUCAAGGUAUUUAUGACUUCAACCUUAGAAAGUAAAUUAACAAAUAUUUCUGUCAGUAGGAAUUUAGAAACUAAAUUAACAAAUAAUUUUGUCUAUCAUCAUAAGAAAUAUUUUAACAGAGUUCUAUUUUUUCCUUGAUCGAAUCAUCACAAGAAAUUGGACAAGUGCGAGCGUGAGUCUAAAGAAACUAUCCUUUGCCACCAUCUACGAUUUUCAAUUCGGUUAAAUGUUGAGAUCACUCUGGUUGGAAGUCUGGAAUCGUGGUAAAAUAGGACGCAUACUGUUGCAUCUUCUUUGUGUGUGGAAUCCUCAUCUCCUUGAACCUGGGAAGAUAUAUGUAUCUGGGAGCAUCCACAACCAUCUGUUUGCGAACAGCAGACCAUAUCCCAUCUGCCCCAAUCAAAAGUUUGCAGGGAACCACCUUGAUUCUAUGAUCUUCUGUACCCUCUUUGGGGCACUUAACAGAGUUCUAUUUUUUCCUUGAUCGAAUCAUCACAAGAAAUUGGACAAGUGCAAGCGUGAGUCUAAAGAAACUAUCCUUUGCCACCAUCUACAAUUUUCAAUUCGGGGAGAUGAAGGUAACAGAGAAGCUAUAGCACAAAUAUUGCAAAGUGUGGAGAAGGCACGCCGGAUGGUUGGAGGAUUAGCUCUUGUAGCCUUCUUGCUAGACCAGAUUGAAGAGAUCUCUGAAAACCGGAGUGAAUACAUUGAACUCUUAAGACAAAUGUUUAAGCUUGCUGGGUAUAUCAGAAGGAUGAUGUUUUUGAAGGGUUUUGUGAACCACGAAGGCUUGGGCACUGUAAAAUUGAAAAUAAAGCAGCUUCAUCAGGAUCUUACAUUGUGAGCGCUAAUAGAAAUACAACAGAUCAACAGCCUGUUGCUUUCUCUCCAUGGAAGCCUACUUAUACAGAUCAUGCAGGUACGACAACAAUUCAGAGAAAUCUUUCUAGAAAUGGGAUUUGAAGAGAUGCCGACAAAUAACUUUGUUGAGAGUAGUUGGCAUCCAAAAGUAGAAGAAACAAUUAAUGAAUUUGCUAGACAUGGAAACAAAGAACAAGUCUCCAUUGGCUGUAGUUAUUUAUGGAUUUGGCGGCAUAGGAAAGACCACCCUCGCCACCGCUGUUAUUGCUGACUUAGAUCUCACAAUUACAACUAUUCAGGAGUUCAAAUGCAAGAAGACAGCUCCAGGAACGUCAUAAAAUGCAUGCAGCAGCAAAUAUUGAAAGAUGCCUUCCCAGCAUAUAAUGACAGAAAUUUAACAUUGAGAAAUAGUGCUCACAAAAUGCAUGCAGCAGCAAAUAUUGUUGGAGCUGAGGAGGUCACACAUCUGGAAGAAGCGGCUUUGUUCAAGACAUUCGACAAAGGCAACGUUAUUGUUCUUGAUACCUUCCAAGCAAAAGGGUUGAGUAUGUCUGAAUCGAAUAGAAUAACUAAUAUGCAAUCCUGGCUUGAUGUUUUAUGCGACAAUAAGAGGCUCGAUCAAAUUUAAAGGAAACUGGCUUACCAAGGAGGAGACUGAACCUGUGUACGAACUUGAUGAGAAGCCUGGCCUUGGGGAACAAGAUAAAUGUAUCAGGGUCAAGCCAAAAGACACCCAAAUUUAAAGAACUGAAAUUUCUCAAACUAGGUGGCGACAUGUCUGGUUUAUGGCCAGUAAAUUUGGAGUGCCUUGAGCGGUUGGCUGUGUACUAUGGCCCUGUCUUUAAGGAUGUUCAUGUCUUAUUGAUCUAUUAAAAAAAUUCAUUGCCUUGCCCAAGUGAAAUGGGGCCAUGUAAGGUGUAUGUACUAUAUACUGAGCCAAAGCCUCCUCCAAGAUUGUAAGCUGCUAAAAAUGGCUCUAUCUAGUCAUGUGAAGUUCGAUUCUAUUGUGCUCA
Cryptomeria japonica (Japanese cedar) is the source of this 7888-nucleotide RNA transcript. RefSeq lists it as uncharacterized. The transcript is spliced from 9 exons. NCBI's taxonomy places the organism in Eukaryota, Viridiplantae, Streptophyta, Pinopsida, Cupressales, Cupressaceae. The record is from RefSeq and is a predicted model, not a curated record.